GUCCACAGCUCGGUGUGGUUGUGCCGACACAUGCCUUGACUCUUCCAGAAGAACCAAUCACAGGGCCCGGACAGUACUGGUGUAAUGUCACAGUGAACGGAGUGGACUCAGUCAGGGUGCUCAUGUCUGUGGUGCCGUUUGUGGAGCCCAGUCAACGGUUGCUGAUGAAGAAAGAGGCAAAGCAAGAACAGUCGGAUUCAGAAUAGUGUUUUCUUUGCUAAAAAUGUCGUGCAGGAAACAACUUGGAGAAUAUACACAAGUCAUUUGUACAAAUAAAAUGAUUUUUGUUUAUUUA
Long non-coding RNA from Sinocyclocheilus grahami, 295 nucleotides. RefSeq lists it as uncharacterized. The transcript has 2 exons. Lineage: Eukaryota; Metazoa; Chordata; Actinopteri; Cypriniformes; Cyprinidae. The record is from RefSeq and is a predicted model, not a curated record.